UUAAUCAUUUUCUAAGAAACAUGGGCAGUAAGAAUUUUCCCAGAGCCGCAACAAAGAAAUCGUGAUGCACCUUGUUUAUACAAUCAGAUAGUAUAAUCGGAAAGUUUUCAAACAGUCACGACACAAGUGCUAUAUAAGAGAGAUAGGUUUGCUUGUUUACCAUCACUAUUGUUCAGCGAUAGAGAUUCCCACCUUCAGCUACUAUAGCGCCGGACGUUCCUCGAAGUUGCUGUAUACCCACGUGCGACAAUCUACAAUGAAACGCCAAUACCUUUUCCUGCUGGUGUGCCUGGUGAUUUUUACAAUGGAUGCUGUCUGUGCAUUGCCUGUGUCGGAUGAUGUUAGUCGUGUUAAACGUUUCACCUGCGACUUUAUAGCGUACUUUGGAAGUGGAGCUGCUACCGUUGCUUGUGCGCUCCACUGCAAGGGCCAUGGCAAAAGGACUGGCUAUUGUGAAAGGAGUACUUGCAUUUGCACUAAUUAAAUCUGAAGAAGAUAUCCAUUCGAAGAGAAUGCAGCUCUGCGGCAAAAUAACGGAUUAUAUCGCGUGUAUUUGAAAUUGAAUGAAUAAAAUGUUGCCGUUGCAUAUAACGUUUUGAGAUAUUUGAUUAAAACUAUUCAGCCCCUCAGUGAUUAUUUUAUAUGUUCUGAUAUAGCAUGUUAUCUUAAUUGAAAGACAAUUCAGCGUUUUCAACAGGUUGAUUGGAGGUCCCUCGAAAAGCACAAAACCAUUGAUUGG
Long non-coding RNA from Lingula anatina, 739 nucleotides. The record is from RefSeq and is a predicted model, not a curated record. NCBI's taxonomy places the organism in Eukaryota, Metazoa, Brachiopoda, Lingulata, Lingulida, Lingulidae.